Molecule: ribosomal RNA, 433 nt
Filed under: uncultured bacterium
Lineage: Bacteria
Description: partial 16S ribosomal RNA
Rfam family: Bacterial small subunit ribosomal RNA
Source: RNAcentral
AACGAAUGCUGGCGGCAUGCCUAACACAUGCAAGUCGAACGAUCCCUUCGGGGAUAGUGGCGCACGGGUGCGUAACGCGUGGGAACCUGCCCUUAGGUUCGGAAUAACUCAGAGAAAUUUGAGCUAAUACCGGAUAAUGUCUUCGGACCAAAGAUUUAUCGCCUUUGGAUGGGCCCGCGUUGGAUUAGCUAGUUGGUGGGGUAAAGGCCUACCAAGGCGACGAUCCAUAGCUGGUCUGAGAGGAUGAUCAGCCACACUGGGACUGAGACACGGCCCAGACUCCUACGGGAGGCAGCAGUGGGGAAUAUUGGACAAUGGGCGAAAGCCUGAUCCAGCAAUGCCGCGUGAGUGAUGAAGGCCUUAGGGUUGUAAAGCUCUUUUACCCGGGAUGAUAAUGACAGUACCGGGAGAAUAAGCCCCGGCUAACUCCGUG